Molecule: ribosomal RNA, 253 nt
Filed under: uncultured bacterium
Lineage: Bacteria
Description: partial 16S ribosomal RNA
Rfam family: Bacterial small subunit ribosomal RNA
Source: RNAcentral
UACGAAGGGGGCUAGCGUUGCUCGGAAUUACUGGGCGUAAAGGGCGCGUAGGCGGUUACUUAAGUCGGGGGUGAAAGCCCAGGGCUCAACCCUGGAACAGCCUUCGAUACUGGGUAUCUUGAGUACGGGAGAGGUGUGUGGAACUCCGAGUGUAGAGGUGAAAUUCGUAGAUAUUCGGAAGAACACCAGUGGCGAAGGCGACACACUGGCCCGUUACUGACGCUGAGGCGCGAAAGCGUGGGGAGCAAACAGG